AGUUAUUCGCGUAGGGUACAGAGGUAAGAUGUUCUAUCUUUCAGACCUUUUACUUCACGUAAUCGGAUUUGGCUGAAUAUUUUAGCCGCCCCAGUCAUUUAUGGCUGGGGCGUUUUUUA
This 119-nucleotide non-coding RNA is filed under the name Enterobacter sp. BIGb0383. RNAcentral also lists the same sequence under 1 other name. Lineage: Bacteria; Pseudomonadati; Pseudomonadota; Gammaproteobacteria; Enterobacterales; Enterobacteriaceae. The record is from RNAcentral.